GGAUGCCUACGGGGGGCAGCAGUGAGGAAUAUUGGUCAAUGGGAGAGAUCCUGAACCAGCCAAGCCGCGUGAGGGAAGACGGCCCUAUGGGUUGUAAACCUCUUUUGUCGGAGAACAAAACCCGGGACGUGUCCCGGACUGCGUGUAUCCGAAGAAAAGGCAUCGGCUAACUCCGUGCCAGCAGCCGCGGUAAUACGUAGGGGGCAAGCGUUAUCCGGAUUUACUGGGUGUAAAGGGAGCGUAGACGGCAGCACAAGUCUGGAGUGAAAUCC
Molecule: ribosomal RNA, 272 nt
Filed under: uncultured bacterium
Lineage: Bacteria
Description: partial 16S ribosomal RNA
Rfam family: Bacterial small subunit ribosomal RNA
Source: RNAcentral